Molecule: non-coding RNA, 2596 nt
Organism: Sus scrofa (pig)
Lineage: Eukaryota; Metazoa; Chordata; Mammalia; Artiodactyla; Suidae
Source: RefSeq, a predicted model, not a curated record
CCCAGCGCCUGCCUGAAAGGACUCUGACAAAUGGCAGCAGCUGGAGAACAGGUUCGGCUGCCUCCAGCUCCCCUGGGCAGCGCCAGGACCUGCGGGCUGUGGGUGCGGAAAGCACACUAGCUGCGUGCUGUUUGCUCAGCCAUAACCUUCCUGAAGCACAUGUCUGUUGGUGAGAACUCGGCCUGAAAAAGUCAACAGAAGGCUUCUGGCUGCUUCUCAGGCUGCUGAUCCCUUAAUGCAGAUCCAGAACUUCCUGUCCUCGGUGUAGCGAUUUCACAGCACAGGGCGUCCUGGCUGGGCCUCCCCCACCCGCAGGCCUGCGGUCACGGCUCGUGCUGGUUGUCUGGCCUUCCUCGAGGGAGGGCUCUUGGAAACAUAUUUCUAGAAGGUGGCCUCCUCCAGCUCCUGCCCUUCCCCACCUGGCUGCAGCAUCCUGGGGCUCAGGCCAGAAGCCACACGUGGAUGUUCCGCGUGGACACACGGGUGCAGAUGCUCUGAUUGAAGUGGCUAGGGCACUCCCGCUUUGAGCAAGUGUAUGAAUGGAGGAAGUUUUCUUUGUCUUGGAGAAAAGCCUUUCGUGAUGAAGACAAAUGGUUAAAUGAAAAGCCCGUGUUGGGCUUUGCUGAUAGAAGGUUUGAGGAAAUGAUUUGUUGGGGCCGAGAAGUGAAUAGAUGAAAUGGGAGCCCUCAGCGAUCACCUGCUUCAAUCCUUCAUGUUACACGCAAGCACAUGCAAGUUUCUGGGCCAGCGAUCAAAACCCACGUUGGAUCCAUAACCUACUUCACCAUGAGGGAACUCCUAAGGCAGAUCUUUAAAAGCAAUCUAUUUCUUUGAGGGCCUGGGGAGAAUUUCCUGAACUUCGUGGGGAUAAUUGCCAAACUCUCAUGUCCCAAGAGUAGAAAACUCUGGGGAAAACCAGUGGUCUGGGGUAUAAGGAUAAUCAUAGCUCACUUUUACAGAACACUUGCUAAAUGCUGGGGGCAACUAAAGGGCAUUUUCUCAUCUAACCCUCACACCAUCUGAGGGCACAGGUACCCUUAUUAUCCACAUUUUGCACGUAAAGAAAGGGAGUCUUGGAGAACCAGGUAAACUGCCCAAUCUCAUCCAGCCAGUUAGAAGCAGAUCUGAGAGCCGAGCCUCCUUAAAACCCGUCCGCAGGCAGGGGACACACCAAAAGGAGGCUGGAGGGCUUUGCAGGGGGAAUUGCUUUUCCCGAUGUUCCUAGAAAUGGGUCACAAAAGGCUGAAAGCCAGUUAACCUUGAUUUCAAAUUUAGGAGUAGUUAGUUUUCUCAACAUUUGACUCAGAAAGAAACACCGCCCCUCUUCCUCCUUGAAGUAAUUUAAUUUUCACAUUAUAUUUGAAAGGAAGUCCUCUAUUUACCUAAUGCUUUCCUGUUCAGUCCUUUCAGGCUAUGAAUCUUGCAUAUUUUAUACACACAAAGGUGACUUUUCCUUCCUUGAGUGACCAACGCUUAUCAGCCCAAGCAACUGAUACUGAGCUCAUAAAUAUGUCAGUCCCAGCUCAGUCUCGGCCCUUCUCCGCUCUGAGCGUAAUUCUCCUAUGACAGUUCUCCUCCUCCUCUCUUUUCCUAACCCCGUGGAGAUUGCACUUGUGUCUCCCAAGCACCCUCGAAGUCUGUUUUGGUUUCACUCCCCAUCGGCAAGUAUAAAAAUGACUGACUGUUGCUUACACACCAAAGCCAUUUCAGCAGAAGCCUGCAGACAAUAUAAAACAAGGCCCGUGGAGCCAGCGCCUUCCGAUUCCAAUUAAAUAUUUCCUGUGAGUCGUGCCAAUUGUGCAUCUUGGAAGAACAUUUGAAAGCAGAAGUUUGAACUCACGGGGACCCCAUUGCCUUAAAAACCUGUUUCCUGUUUGACAAGAUUUUACUAGCAGGAGCAAAGUAGCACAUUCAGCAACAAAAGACAUUGUCAAUGGUUCAGAGAUGCAAAGGCAAUGAUUUCCUCUCACAGUGCCCACCAGCACGGCCCCGAUGAGUUGCAAAUUUCCCUCUUCCAGAUAAAUCUCUCUGAACAUUAGACCCCUAUUGCCAGGGACCCUAAUGACAUUUCCAGGAUUACAGGAAAUAUUUGCUUAUCUCACUUCUGUCCAUCCUACCCUACGCUGUCUUAUAAAGUUUGAAAAGUUUUCAAGACAACCUCACAGUGGUCAUUGUUUCCCUUGUACAGGUGAGAAAAAUAAGGCUCAGGGUUGAUCCAUUACUAAGGUUUGUAUGUGGUUGUCUAGGCUGCCAGGGACUCAGUGUUCCAGGUGUCACACGUGUCCUGACUUUGCACAAGUUACUAACACGCUUGCCGUCUCUUCUUCCCAAUCCCUAAGACAGGGGUAAAUGGCAGCAGGAAUUUGACAUUAUGGAUUGGAAAGACCUUUAAGUUGAUUGUAAGAAAGGAACCAUGAUAAUCACAAAGUAUUGUUAUUAUUACUUUAAACAUCAUCACUAGAGUUCCCUGGUAGCUCAGCAGGUCAAGGAUCUGGUGUUGUCAUUUUUGUGGCUCAAGUUGCUUCUGUUACCCAGGUUGGAUCCCUGGCUGAGGAACUCUUGCAUGCCACAAGUGCAGCCUAUAUAUGUAUAUAUA